Ribosomal RNA from Cordyceps militaris CM01, 4919 nucleotides. It matches the Rfam family "Eukaryotic large subunit ribosomal RNA". NCBI's taxonomy places the organism in Eukaryota, Fungi, Ascomycota, Sordariomycetes, Hypocreales, Cordycipitaceae. The record is from Rfam.
UAACCUUAAAUUAGGUAGGAAUACCUACUAAACUUAAGCAUAUUAAUAAGUAGAGGAAAAGAAACUAAUAAGGAUUGCCCUAGUAAUAGCAAGUAAAAUAGUAAUAGCUUAAAUUUAAAAUCUAGCCCCUAGGUCUAAGUUAUAAUUUAUAGAGAAUACUUUUAGCAAGGUGCCUUCUAAGUUCCUUAGAAUAGGACGCUAUAAAGGGUAAGAGCCCUAUCUAGUUAGAUACUAAGCCUUUAUAAAGCUCCUUUAAUAAGUUAAGUAGUUUAGGAAUGCUGCUUAAAAUAGAAGGUAUAUAUCUUCUAAAGCUAAAUAUUAGCUAGAGACUAAUAGCGUAUAAGUAGAGUAAUUAAAAAAUAAAAAGCACUUUAAAAAGAGGGUUAAAAAGUAUAUAAAAUUGUUAAAAGGGAAGCGCUUAUAACUAGACUUAGGCCUAGUAAAUUACCUAGUAUUCUUAUUAGUAUACUUUACUAGGCAUAGGCUAGCAUUAGUUUAGUAUAGGGGAGAAAGGCUUUAGGAAUAUAGCUCCCCUAGGAGUAUUAUAGCCUAUUGCGCAAUACCCUAUACUAGACUAAGGUAUGCAUAUUCGUAAGGAUACUAGCGUAAUAGUUAUUAGCAACCCGUCUUAAAAUACGGACUAAGGAGUUAUCUUUAUAUAUAAGUGUUUAGGUAUUAAAUCCCUACGCGUAAUAAAAGUAAAUAUAGGUAAGAGCUUUAGCGCAUUAUUAACCAAUCCUAAUGUUCUUAAAUAGAUUUAAGUAAGAGCAUAUAAGGCUAGACCUAAAAGAAGGUAAACUAUACCUAUAUAGGGUAAAGCUAGAGGAAACUCUAGUAAAGGCUUAUAGCAGUUCUAACAUACAAAUUAAUUAUUAAAUAUAGGCAUAGGGGUAAAAGACUAAUUAAACCUUCUAGUAGCUAGUUUCUACUAAAGUUUCCCUUAGGAUAGUAGUAUUAAACUUAGUUUUAUAAGGUAAAGCGAAUAAUUAGGGACUUAGGGGCGCUAUAUUGCCUUUAUCUAUUCUUAAACUUUAAAUAUGUAAGAAGCCCUUAUUACUUAAUUAAACGUAGGUAUUUAAAUAUAUUAACACUAGUAGGCCAUUUUUAGUAAGUAGAACUAGCAAUACAGGAUAAACUAAACGCAAGGUUAAGGUGCUAGAGUAGACACUUAUUAGACACUAUAAAAGGUAUUAGUAUAUCUUAAUAGCAAGAUAGUGGCUAUAAAAGUUAGAAUCUACUAAGGACUAUAUAACAACUUACCUACUAAAUAUACUAGCCCUAAAAAUAGAUAGCGCUUAAGCGUCCUACCUAUACCUCGCCCUUAGGGUAGAAAUAAAGCCUUAAGGAGUAGGCAGACAUAGAGGUUAGUAACGAAGCCUAGGGCGCAAGCCCAGGUUAAACAGCCUCUAGUACAGAUCUUAGUAGUAGUAGCAAAUACUUUAAUAAGAACUUAAAGGACUAAAGUAGAGAAAGGUUCUAUAUAAAUAGUAGUUAGAUAUAGGUUAGUUAAUCCUAAGUUAUAAGGAAGUUCUGUUUUAAAGGCGCACUCUACGCUAUAUAGUGAAAGGGAAGCUAGUUAAUAUUCUAGCACCUAAAUAUAGGUUUUAUAUAGUAACGCAACUAAACAUAGAGAUAAUAGUAGGAGCCCUAAGUAGAGUUCUCUUUUCUUCUUAAUAGUCUAUUACCCUAAAAUCGGUUUAUCUAGAGCUAGGGUUUAAUAGCUAGAAGAGCCUAGCACCUCUACUAGGUUUAGUACACUCUUAACGUCCCUUAAAAAUCCGCAGGAAGGAAUAAUUCUUACAUUAGGUUGUACUUAUAACUAUAGUAGGUCUCUAAGGUAAAUAGCCUCUAGUUAAUAGAACAAUAUAGAUAAGGGAAGUUAGCAAAAUAGAUCCAUAACUUUAAAAUAAGGAUUAGCUCUAAGGGUUAGGCACGUUAGGCUUUAGAAGGAUGCCUUAAGAGUAGGCCACUACUAGCUAGGUAACCAGCCAGCAGUAGCCAGCAUCUAGGCACUAAUAUCCUUAGUAGGCUUUAGCUAUCCAGCAUGCAGUUAAUAACCAACUUAGAACUAGUAUAGAUAAGGGGAAUCUAACUAUCUAAUUAAAACAUAGUAUUAUAAUAGCUAGAAAGUAGUAUUAACAUAAUAUAAUUUCUACCUAGUACUUUAAAUAUUAAAGUAAAGUAAUUUAACUAAGCACAGGUAAAUAGUAAGAGUAACUAUAACUUAAUAUAGUGGCAGGGGAGAUAGCGCAUAGGUGCCUAACCCCCCUUAAGAAGGUUAAGCAGCGUAAAAAGCAACUACUAGUAAGGGCCGCUAUAGCCCCUAUAACACCGUUAAAUUGUAGGAAGUUCCUAAAGCUAACACUACUAAGCAGGCUACUAAAAGGCGUCUAUAGCCAGGGUAAUAACCUAGGGUACGGUAAAAACGUGUUAGAUGUAAUAAUAGAUAAUCCGCAGCUAAGCCCUAUAUACUACGCAGCCCCCUAGGCUGCGCAGGAUAUGGGUGCAGUUUAACAACUAAAUAGUAAUAGGUUCCAUAAGGAGUGUGUCCUACACACCCUUGCUAGGCUUAAGAUAUAGUCUACUCCUACUUUAAAAGGAUAGGUAUAAUACUCUUAAGGUAGCUAAAUGCCUUAUUAUCUAAUUAGUAAUAUAUAUAAAUAGAUUAAUAAGAUUCCCACUAUCCCUAUUUACUAUCUAGCAAAACUAUAGUUAAGGGAAUAGGCUUAGCAGAAUUAGUAAGGAAAGAAGACCCUAAACACACUAUAGUUCGUUCUAAUAAUAAGCAUUAAUAGGGUUAAUAGCAGUUAGCAUGCCACUAGUCUAGCAGCUAAUAUAGUUAUAGGUAGCUAUAGGCAAGACAACCUAGUAUAAGGGAGCCUAUAGGGAGGACUACGUCCUCCCUAUAGUAAUCCUAUAGUAAGCCUCCUUUAGGGGGCUAUUAUAACGUAUAGAAAGGUAUUAGUUAGUAGUUAAGAGGCUACUAGCUUAAGGGAUAUACUAAACCUAGGUAAAAGCCUGCCUAUUAAUAGAGUGCCUAUAGUAUAAAGUCUUUAGGGGCUGUACUUACAUAACGCCUAGAAGGAAAUGCCUAGGCAGAGGCUAGUAAGGAGAUAGUUAAGCUUAACUCUAGUUUAAUAUUAUAAAAAGAUAUAGGAGGUAUAGAAUAGGUAGGAGCUUUAGUACUAGUAAAAUACUACUACUCUUAUUAUUUUUUUACUUAUUUAAUAAAGUAGGGCUAGAUUUUUAUCUAACUUCUAGUUUUAAGGUCCUUUAUAGGCUAACCUAGGUUAAAGAUAUUGUUAGGUAGGGAGUUUAGCUAGGGCAGUAUAUCUAUUAAACCAUAACGUAGGUAUCCUAAGGGGGGCUUAUAGAGAAUAGAAAUCUCUAGUAGAAUAAAAGGGUAAAAGUCCCCUUAAUUUUAAUUUUUAGUGUAAAUAUAAACUAUAAAAGUAUAGCCUAUUAAUCCUUUAGUCUCUUAAUAUUUAAGGCUAGAGGUGCUAGAAAAGUUACUAUAAGGAUAAACUAAACUAAAACAUUCUAGGCGCUAGCUUAUUACUAGCGUCUAGUCAGCCUACCGCUUAAUAGCACUAGUAGUAGGUAGGCAAUACACCUAGAUAUAGGGAACUCUUAUUAGGUAUAUAGUACUAAGUAUUAGUUAUAAUGCUCUAAUAUUCUAAUAAUAAGGGUAUAGUAAUAAUCUAUAUAAUAAAGAUAAUCUAUAGCUAAGUUAGCUGCCUUAUAAGAGGGUGCUAGCCAGUUUAAUGCUUACUAAGGUAUAGGUUAUAACUAUAUAUAUAGCUAUAGUUCCUAGUUAUGGCUUAAGGUACAGGCUACGCCCACCUAAGAGGGUAAUACUAUCUACUAGGAGUAUACCUUAAGAAGUAGUAUAUAUAAGAGUUUUUUAUGCUUAUAUAGUAGUAUAGAACUAGCUUAUAGCGGCUAAGUAUUUAUAGCAAUGUCGCUUUUUAAUCCUUUAAUAUUAGCUCUUCCUAUUAUACUAAAGUAGAAUUUAGUAAGUAUUAGAUUAUUUACUUACUAAAGAACCAAUAUUUUCUAUUAGUAGGGAUAGUCAGGUCCUAUUAGUUAGGAUUACGCUAGCUAGUCAAUAUAACAUGCGCUAUAGGUAUUAUAUAGCAACACAACCUAGAUUAAGGAAGGCUAAGGGCUUAUAGGCCUAUACUAAUCCUAAGUGCAGUCCUAGUAAAGUAAUCUUCUAGGACGUAUAUAGAGUAUAGAAAGGUAUAGGCAGCUCUUCUAGGUACGCCUAGAAGGCUGCUUAAGGGACAUGCUAGACCCAUAAGAAACCAUGCUAGAUAUAAAGGACCUGCAGUCUAGAUUAUCUAGGUAGCUUUAAGGCUAGGAGGAAAUGCCUAGAAGAGCUAGGUAUACUAUAUAGAAUAGGGAUAAGACGUGCGCCUAGGCCUAUAGCAGUUAGGAUAGGGUAUAAUAGUAACCUAUAUAGGUUUUAAAUAGGGAAUGUAAGCUAGGUUUAGACCGUUAUAAGAUAGGUUAGUUUUACCCUACUAAUAACCUUACUGCAAUAGUAAUUUAGCUUAGUAUAAGAGGAACUGCUAAUUUAGAUAAUUAGUUUUUAUAGCUAUCUAACUAGGCAGUGCUGUAACGCUACUAUUUACUAGAUAAUAGCUAAACACCUCUAAGUUAGAAUCCAUGCUAGAACGCAGUAAUACCACCCGUACGUACAGAUAGAUAAGAAUAGGCUUUAGCUUUAUAUCUUAGUAGGCAAUUCCUUUAUAGCUAUAGAAGAGUAGUCUUAGUAUUUCGCGUAUUAUAAUUUCAAUAUAAGUAGGGUUAAAUCCUUUAUAGACGACUUAGCUAUGCAAAACAGUCCUAUAAGUAGUAGAGUAGCCUUAUUAUUAUAAUCUACUAAGGGUAAGCCAUCCUUUGCCUUGAUUUCC